AGUGAACGCUGGCGGUAGGCCUAACACAUGCAAGUCGAACGGCAGCACAGUAAGAGCUUGCUCUUACGGGUGGCGAGUGGCGGACGGGUGAGGAAUACAUCGGAAUCUACUUUUUCGUGGGGGAUAACGUAGGGAAACUUACGCUAAUACCGCAUACGACCUACGGGUGAAAGCAGGGGAUCUUCGGACCUUGCGCGAUUGAAUGAGCCGAUGUCGGAUUAGCUAGUUGGCGGGGUAAAGGCCCACCAAGGCGACGAUCCGUAGCUGGUCUGAGAGGAUGAUCAGCCCCACGCGAACUGAGACACGGUCCAGACUCCUACGGGAGGCAGCAGUGGGGAAUAUUGGCCAAUGGGCGCAAGCCUGAUCCAACCAUACCGCGUGAGUGAAGAAGGCAUUCGGGUUGUAAAAACCUUUUUUUGGGAAAGAAAAGCGGCAGGUUAAUACCCCGCUGUUCUGACGGUACACAAAGAAUAAGCACCGGCUAACUUCGUG
Molecule: ribosomal RNA, 492 nt
Filed under: uncultured bacterium
Lineage: Bacteria
Description: partial 16S ribosomal RNA
Rfam family: Bacterial small subunit ribosomal RNA
Source: RNAcentral